UUCGGAUUGGUUGUAUGUAUAUCCCCGAGGAAUAUGGGAGCUGUUGCGUUAUACAAAGCAAAAAUACAAUAACCCAGUGAUUUAUAUCACUGAGAAUGGGAUAUCAGAGUUCAACAAUAAUACAGAGACAUUGGAGAAAGCGUUGACAGAUAACAUGAGAAUAGAUUAUUACUACCAUCAUCUUUUAUUCCUCAACAAAGCCAUCAAGGAGGGUGUUGAUGUAAGGGGAUAUUUUGCAUGGUCAUUAUUGGACAACUUUGAGUGGGCCGAUGGUUACACAGUUCGAUUUGGCAUUACCUUUGUCGAUUACAAAAAUGGGUUGAAGAGGUACCUGAAGCACUCAGCCUAUUGGUUUAAAAGGUUCCUCCAGGGUUAGACCACUAGAAGAUUCCAUGACAAUGUACUUAUAUUCUUUUGUGUUAAUUAGCCCAUUUUUAGUUAAGACUCUUCACCUCUUCUUCUUUACAAUAACUUCUACAAUUUAUAUACCAUACCGAGGUAUGCAAAUUGAUAAGUGAGCCUCACACUUGGAUAGGAUAAGCUAUGUACUAG
Molecule: long non-coding RNA, 552 nt
Organism: Macadamia integrifolia
Lineage: Eukaryota; Viridiplantae; Streptophyta; Magnoliopsida; Proteales; Proteaceae
Exons: 3
Source: RefSeq, a predicted model, not a curated record